Molecule: ribosomal RNA, 253 nt
Filed under: uncultured bacterium
Lineage: Bacteria
Description: partial 16S ribosomal RNA
Rfam family: Bacterial small subunit ribosomal RNA
Source: RNAcentral
UACGUAGGGGGCUAGCGUUGUCCGGAAUCAUUGGGCGUAAAGCGCGCGUAGGCGGCCAGAUAAGUCCGGUGUGAAAGUCACAGGCUCAACCUGUGAAUGCCGCUGGAAACUGUCUGGCUUGAGUCCGGAAGGGGCGAGUGGAAUUCCUGGUGUAGCGGUGAAAUGCGCAGAUAUCAGGAGGAACACCGGUGGCGAAGGCGGGUCUCUGGGCCGAUACUGACGCUGAGGAGCGAAAGCGUGGGGAGCGAACAGG